This 4748-nucleotide long non-coding RNA is filed under the name Cucumis sativus (cucumber). Its description in RNAcentral is "long non-coding RNA (CSAT_LNC000887)". Lineage: Eukaryota; Viridiplantae; Streptophyta; Magnoliopsida; Cucurbitales; Cucurbitaceae. The record is from RNAcentral.
CUUUGAUUGCAACCUCACGGAAGUUAGACUUGGUGUUCGAGUAGAGACAUUUCCACUCAUCCAAAAUCAUCGAACUAGGAGGAAGCAAGUCAAGAGGAUUUUUGGCCUUGGGCUUUGGUGCCUCCUCCUCAGCAGGUGCUGCAGGCUUCUCUUCUUGUUUCUUGGGCUCAGCCUUCGCUUUGGCAGCUGCUGCAGCCUCUUCAGGUGUUUUCACUGGUGGGACGGCGUCUGUCUGCUUUACCUCACCCAUUAUCUUUUUGAAAUUUGGUUGAUUGACCAAUGUCCAGAAGUACCUCUCAACGUGGGGAAACUCAGAAGUAAAGCUUUUAGUCAAUAUAUAGUUGAAUCCCAAAUAGAGAUUGCAUGUCAGAAUGAUAUCAGCUAGUGUCACGGAGUGUCCAACGAGGAAUGUGUUUGAAGCAAGGUAGGAGUUCAAAGCACCGAAAGAUCGUUUUAGAGCAGCAUCAGCGGUUUCCUCUACCUUCAUGAAGAGAAUAAUACCAAAGAAAUAAUUCAUUCAUAGGUAUCAAAGGAAUACUUACAUGGUUUGAAAAGUGAAUGAAAAUGGAUAUAUAUAUAUAUAAUAAAAGAAAUAAAGUGAAAAGAAAGAAAAACUUCUUUGCAAUCCAACUCACUUCUUUUAUUAAUGCCCACAGAUAAAGAAUACAAAAGAAGAAAAUAAACCUCAACCAUUAACAUCCACUUUCAACCACAACUCAAAACAGAAAUAAGAAAAAAGAAAUCCAACUUACACCCGGAUGGAAAGCAGCAUAUCCAAAUCUAGGCCUCAACUUAGUUGACACAGGAAUAUCAAUUUCAAACGUGGAAAAAUCAAUCCAUUGUUCAACAUGUCCCUGAAAAGAAUAGAAACGAAAGAAUUGAUUAGCAAACAGUUCCUUUCUAAUUGAAGAAAAGGGAAGAAUCAUAAUCAAAACCAAUUAAGAAAACGGAUCUUUACACAAUCAAUGGAAGAAGAGCCAAAUAAACCACUGUCCUUCAAGCGAGCAACUGAACCAUUUAGAGAGAAAAAAACAUUAGCAUAAAAUAAAAACAAAAGGAAGAAGAUUUCCAUUUUAACUCAUCUCCCCAGUUAUCAAGACUCUCCUAAGGAGAAACAUGAAAUAGUAAUUACCAUAGCGAGCUAUAGCAUUGCUCUCAAAGAUAGCACCAUCUGGUGUUUCCAGAACAGGAACCUACAAUAUCAAACAUUAUUUUAGAAUAUUCAAGCGCAUAUCAGUUGUAAACACUAUCUCUCACACAGUCAGAUUAACAGGCAUCACCCGUAAUAUAUGUUUACCUUCCCAAUAGGAUUCAUUUUCAGAUAUUCAGGACUCUUGUUGGUCACGCCCAUGGUAAAAUCUUGGGAAAGAUCAACCUUGACACCAUUGUACUCCGCAGCUAUUAAAGCCUUGUAAGCAUUUUUGUUAGUCUUCCAAGAAUGCAAGACCUGCAAAAUCAAUACACAUAUACAUCAAAGAACAAAAUUACAUUAGACCAGAAAUCAUCCAUUUCUCCUAUGCAACUUAACAAACGAGUAAUCAGACAUUAAAUUUAUGUCCGUGCAAUCGGAACAUAAAUCAAUAGGCUAUAGCAUGCAAGAAGCAAUAAAUGGCAUGGAUAACUAAGUUGAACAUAAUUCUAAAAAACUCCAUCCAUCACAGUACAAAAAAGAAGCAAGGAUAAACACCAAUCGUCAAUAAUGUAAAUCAAAUCAACUAAUUCUUCAAUCCUCCUACGCAAUUCAACGUCAAAAACUUAAGAAUUGCAAAAAGUAGAGAAAUUAAGGAAAUGCGGCGGACAUAAAAGAGUAAUACUUUCGAAGAUCGAUUACUAAAUUCCUCCAAAACUACUCAAACACACUGUAAAAACAUGGGAUCCGGAAUAAGUAGACGAAAAUAAAUCCAGUGGUUCAGAAAUAAAAUCGGCAGAAAAGAAAAAGAGCAUAAAAAGAUGGAGAGCGGAAGUAAUGAGAGAGACUCACGAGAGCCAUCGGUUCGCGGAAGAAACGUUUCGCUCAAAAAUCAGAUCUGAAUAAAUAGGAAAGAAAACACAAGAGUUAGGAAGUGGAAUAAGAGAAUUAGUGAUGAUAAGGAAGAGAUUGAAGGUGGAGAGAAUGAUAGAGAUGAAAGAAAGGGGAAUAAGAAGAGGAUGAAGAUGAGAAAAAGGUAGAAGGAGAGAGACCUGUGAGAGGGCGAGCGUUGUUCCGAGAGCAGGAAAUGUGUUGGGAAGAGAGAGAGAAUAUAAGGAGUGAGGGAAUUAGGGUUUUGUAAAGGGUUUUUUUAUAUUAUUAUUAUUUAUUAUUUAUUUGUUUUAUUUAAUGCAUGGCCCAAAUUGAGAAGAAAUAUGAGUUUUGACCCAAAUCUUUGAAAAUUAGGUUUUUUUUUUUUAAUUUUAAUUUUAACAUUUAUUGAAGUGCAAAAUUGGGCACCAAAAACCACUGUGUUCUCGUACACAUGCACAAUGGGUUUUACCUCUCUCUCUCUCUUUCUCUCUCUCUCCCCCUCCCCUUUUAUCACUCUAUCAAACUACUUUUUGCUUUGCUUUCCAGCGUCUCAUAAGAUUUUGGGCAAACCAAGAAGAAGAAGAAAAUCAUCGCUAUAGACCACAAACAAGAAGGGAAAAGAAAAGAAUAGAAAAUCUCCAACUUCACUCAUCCAUGCCAAACUCAAUUACCAAUACUUUUUAAGAAAAUGAAGCAUUUUUCAUUUUAAGAAAGGUUCUUCUAGAUUGAUUGGAUUUCAUCUCAUGUUUGAUAUAGACACAACUAAAUUUUAAGAUUACUCAUUACUAACAUAUAUUUGUGCUUUUACUCUUACUUAAUUCAUUGAAACGUGAAUGACGAGGGAAUAACUUAUGGAAAAAUAAUAUAUUUCAAAUUUUCAUUUUUUUUAUAACAAAACUCCUUAAAAUAAAAUUUUUUAAAAAAAAACUAGCUUUCAAAACUGUUUUCUUUAAGGUAAAAGCUCAUUGAAAUUGAUAUUUACUAAGAGUCCUUAUUAUUCUCAAAUUACUAUUGAAAGAAGUUGGUCGACAAAUAAUUGAAAGAUGGUGAAAACAUCACCAUAAAAAUCAAAGAAAAGGAAAUCAAUGAUGGCUCUUACACGCUUGAAUGAAUACAAAGAACUUAAAUUUAACUAUGUUAUUUUUAGUUUUUCAUGCAAGUUAACAUUUAAAAACUCAAGGAAUUAUUUAGAGUUAAUUAAGUAUUUAGCUUAAAUAAACUUAUUUUAUAAAAUGAUUUUUAUUUAAUAAUUACAUAAAAGUGAACAUGUACAAGUUGCUAUACAUUUUAAAAUGGGAAAAGGUCAAUCCAUACUAAUAUGUUGCUAAUUAUAAAGGGUGACAAUCAGACCUAUUUGAAAGGCUUUCCAAAUAUAAAUAUGAUUUGAUUACGAUGGAGAAUCGAGGCUGUUUACUUAUCUGCUGGUAUCUUUGUCCCCAUAAUGUUAUCUUCGUUAUAUCAAUCGAUAAUGGUAUUCGUAACAAAAAUCUAUUUGAAAUGAAGGCAGAAAACAAAAUCUGACUAAAAAAAAGUCCACAGAAACAUUUCUCUCAAAGUUAACUCUCUAAUGUCCCCCAAUAAUAAUUAAAAGUUUUGCGCUAUUUCUCACUUAAAGCAUUUGGCGUCCAAAAGAGCUUCACCCUCAAAUGGUUCCUGAUCUUCAAUCAUUUGGCUCACCCUCUCCUUCUGGGCUUCAUCCGAGAUAUCCACCUUCUUCCACUCGUACAGCUCCAUAUCAUAGCACUCAUCAAGCACAAAUUGUGGGAUUUCUUUUCCACGGAAAAGCCAUAGUCCCUUCACCUUGUAUGGUGCCUCUGAUCCGAUCACAAGCAUCUUUCCAAAUGCGUACUUCCUAGCAAUAUCCAUUCUCUGGAGGAAUCCACCAACUUUGUUCAAAGUCACAAAUGAAACAGUAUUCUCGUCGUUGUAUUUGUAGUCACAGAACCAAAGGGAGUAACCUUCUGGGUCAUACAUGUCCCAGAAUCCUGCAUUUCGUAAAACAUAUGGCCAUAGAAUAAUUCAGUUUAACCAUCCUUUCUCUAAAAGAAUUCAAACAGCUAAUGAGGCUGACGAAUGGCCAUACCUUUGAUUGCAACCUCACGGAAGUUAGUCUUAGUGUUCGAGUAGAGACGUUUCCACUCAUCCAAAAUCAUCGAACUAGGAGGAAGCAAGUCAAGAGGGUUUUUGGCCUUGGGCUUUGGUGCCUCCUCAGCAGGUGCUGCAGGCUUCUCUUCUUGUUUCUUGGGCUCAGCCUUUGCUUUGGCAGCUGCUGCAACCUCCUCAGGUGUUUUCACUGGUGGGAUGGCGUCUGUCUGCUUUACCUCACCAAUUACCUUUUUGAAAUUUGGUUGAUUGACCAAUGUCCAGAAGUACCUCUCGACAUGAGGAAACGCAGAAGUAAAGCUCUUAGGCAAAAUAUAGACGAAUCCAUAAUAGAGAUUGCACGUCAAAACAAUAUCAGCCAGUGUCACAGAGUGUCCAACGAGGAAUGUGUUUGAAGCAAGGUAGGAGUCCAAAGCACCGAAAGAUCGUUUUAGGGCAACGUUUGCAGCUUCUUCUGCCUUCAAGAAGAAAAUAGAUCGUAACACAAGUCAUAUGCCAGAGGUAAAAAAAAGCCUACUUCUAUUGCUGCCCACAAAUAAAGAAUACAGGAGAAAAAACAAACUUCAAUCAUUGCCAUCCACUUUCUAAUACCUUGUAAGAAAAACAGACUCAAUAGAAAUAGAAAAGGGUUCUAACUUACAGG